ACUCAAUUCAUUUCUUGACUUAUAUGUGCUGAGGAGGGGGUAGGGCAAAUAAAUAACAGUCUCAGCUUAAAGGAGUUUGCAGUAUUAUUAGGCAAAUCUAAAAGUUAGUAUAAUAUAAUCAAAAGUGCACUAGAUUUGGAAGAAAGGAAAGAGACAUUUAUUAAGUCCUUCCUAUGAGCCAGACACUACACUAAUCAUUUUACAAAUAAUCUUUAUAAAUAAUUGGAGGUAGGUCCAAUUAUUAGCACCAUUUCACAGUUGAAAAAACUGAGGUAAAUAGAGGUUAAGGGACUUGCCCAGGGUCACACAGCUAGUAAGUUUCAGAGGCUGGAUUUGAUCGCAGCAAUUUUUGAUUUGGGGCUCAAUGCUCUAUAAACUGGGCCACCUCACUGCUGUUGAUGCUUCUAAUUCUUGUUUGACUAUUUUCUACACAUGAGAACCUGUAUAAAUCACUUCAUCUGUUUGGCUUCUGUUACCUAAUCAGUACAAUGGGGAUAUGGGAGCUGGUUUGACUAAUUUAUAGCUGAAGAGUCUGAAAUCCUUGGUAAGUUGUGACUUUACUAAAGUCACAAUGAAUUAACCCCAGUCUUAACCAUUUAUCUUCUUCUCAUCUCAGAUGCUGUUGUUGUUUGUCCUUUGUUUUCUAAGAGGACCAAUGACAUCCCAAGGUGAUAUCUUGAUUUGUUGGUGAAUUGGAUUUAAGUGAGGUGGAAUCACACAAAGUCAUCAGCUUCACUCUUUCUUCUGGUCAUCAAAGUCCAGUGGGAAGACAAAAGUCAGAAUGACUGGCGAUGGGAUGUAGCAGAUGACCUUGCCAUAUUCAGUGUCUAAGUUCAGUUACUCAGGGUCCCAGGCAACACUGUCACCUCUUUGUGGUGGCAAAAAACUAGAAACUGAGGGGAAGCCUAUCAAUUGUGGAAUGACUUAACAAGUUGUGACAUAUGAUUGUGAUGGACUACCACUGUCAUAAGAAAUGAUGAGCAGAUGAAAAAACAACAUGGAAAGGCUUACAUGAAGUUAUGAAGAGUGAAAUGAGCAGAACCAAGAUAACAUUCUAUUCAGCAACAGAAAUAUUGUUUGAAGAACGACUUAAGCCUAUCUCUAGAGAAAGAACUGAUAAACAGAAAUAAGCAAGGUAGUUUUAUAUAUCCAUUUUUUUUUUGGUCCAAUGAUGCUUUCUCUAAUGAGGGAAGAAGAGAAAGCUUGAAACUUUAAUGUAACAAAUACAAUAAAAAAAAGGAAUCUCUUAACCA
Molecule: long non-coding RNA, 1253 nt
Filed under: Monodelphis domestica (gray short-tailed opossum)
Lineage: Eukaryota; Metazoa; Chordata; Mammalia; Didelphimorphia; Didelphidae
Description: lncRNA (ENSMODG00000043807.1)
Source: RNAcentral